GGGCUUGUACUGGUUUCGACGGGGGUCAUGCAGCUGGUGAAGCUAUCCGCAUGCGAUGCGUCAAAUGGCAAAAUUAAAAUUAAACGCUGAAGAUAAUUUAGCAUACGCAGCCUAAUGGCUGCUGUCAGACUUAGCGCACUCACACGUUAAGAACCUGGCAUCGACUAUGUGAGAAACGACAUGCGUUAAGCUUUGCGCGCAUGGGCGUAUGAUGAAGCUACUGAAACCGCGAGAGUGUCUGUUCCCGCGCGGCAGAGGGAAUGUCAAACAACAGACUAUGAUAGUAGAAGAACAGGGAAUUGGUUUUCGGACAGGGGUUCGAUUCCCCUCAG
Molecule: transfer-messenger RNA, 332 nt
Filed under: Eubacteriales bacterium
Lineage: Bacteria; Bacillati; Bacillota; Clostridia; Eubacteriales
Description: partial transfer-messenger RNA
Rfam family: transfer-messenger RNA
About the family: Bacterial tmRNA, also known as 10Sa RNA or SsrA, is named for its dual tRNA and mRNA-like properties. Its role is to liberate the mRNA from a stalled ribosome.
Source: RNAcentral